CCUACGGGAGUCAGCAGUGGGGAAUAUUGCACAAUGGGGGAAACCCUGAUGCAGCGACGCCGCGUGAGUGAAGAAGUAUUUCGGUAUGUAAAGCUCUAUCAGCAGGGAAGAAGAAAGACGGUACCUGACUAAGAAGCCCCGGCUAACUACGUGCCAGCAGCCGCGGUAAUACGUAGGGGGCAAGCGUUAUCCGGAUUUACUGGGUGGAAAGGGAGCGUAGACGGCUGUGCAAGUCUGAAGUGAAAGCCCAGGGCUCAACCCUGGGACUGCUUUGGAAACUGUGGAGCUAGAGUGCUGGAGAGGUAAGUGGAAUGCCUAGUGUAGCGGUGAAAUGCGUAGAUAGUAGGAGGAACACCAGUGGCGAAGGCGGCUUACUGGACAGUAACUGACGUUGAGGCUCGAAAGCGUGGGGAGCAAACAGGAUUAGAUACCCUUGUAGUC
This 441-nucleotide ribosomal RNA is filed under the name uncultured bacterium. Its description in RNAcentral is "partial 16S ribosomal RNA". It matches the Rfam family "Bacterial small subunit ribosomal RNA", at positions 338 to 795 of the family's 1533-position model. The record is from RNAcentral.